CUUACAGCUCCCAGGCAAGCUGCAGUCUGCUUAUGUCUCCACAACUGACUGUGCUACUGUUGAAGGGACUGAACUGUGAGACUCAGCUUUUUUCACUAGCAAUAUGGAAACAAAAACAGCUGCAUUUGGCAGGGGAGGGCCAUGAUUCAAAAGAGACUUGCAGUUAGACUGAAAUGGCAUUCUGGCUUACUGUGAGGGCUAAUGCUUUCAAUGGCUUCACGAGCAUCUCUCUGCUACUGAAUAAAUGCUGCUGGAACAGUUCCCUCAGCGAUUGGAGACACGCGAUUAAACCUAAAGGACCGGAGGAGACGGAUUGGGGUGCUUUCAUCUGCACUGGCACUGCUUGCCCUGACAAUAAGCAUUUGCAAAUGAAA
Ochotona princeps (American pika) is the source of this 374-nucleotide long non-coding RNA. RefSeq lists it as uncharacterized. The record is from RefSeq and is a predicted model, not a curated record. Lineage: Eukaryota; Metazoa; Chordata; Mammalia; Lagomorpha; Ochotonidae. The transcript is spliced from 3 exons.